GGCAGCGACAGCUUCCGUCCGUCCGGUCCGUCCCUCACUCCGUCCGACGCGGCGGCCCCGGGACAGUAGACACACGGGAACAUGCAACUCACGCCGCCGCCAUCUUAGCGCCCUAAGCCACGCCGGGAACUGCUUCCCGGUCAUGCGCGCCUCGUGACGAGACGAAGGAGGGAGAGGCGCGAGCGCAGCGACCCCGAUCACGUGACAGGGGUCGAUGAACGGAAAAAAAGGGAACUUUCUCUCCCGGUCAUGCGUACAGAGGAACCACCUUGUCGUUGUCACAGGGGCAGCACACCUUCCCGCCCCCUCUUCUCCCCUUCUCCCUUGGAGCUUGCGCGCUAGAGGCUUAUCUUAUGGUGACGUCAUUGUUUGGGGUAGCGUCAUGUUGUCACAAAAUGGCCCCAGGAGAUCAUAGUGUGAUAGAUUUAGGGCUGCAAGGGACUUUCUAAGUCCAAACCUUUCUUUUUACAGAUGAGGAAAUUGAGGCCCGGGGAUGUUUCGGUGACUUGUCCAAGGCCACACAGGCUUUCACUGACUGCUCUGCCCUCGAGUGAACGAAGCACCUCUCAAGUACUUAUCCUGCAAACAACCAGAGAUAGACAGGAAAUCACGACUCUCCGUGCUGUCCAGGAGUUCACAUCCCAGCAGAGAGAGACAACACAUAGAGGAGGUUUCAUCGGAAAGUCGGAUGGUCGCGUCCGGGGUGCAGCAGCAAAGCAUCCAAUCAUUUCAUACAAUUUCCACGGGUAAAACCAUAUCCUUUUCUGAUGUGGGACCAUUUGGCAAUGCCAAAGACUUUGGUGGCAAGAAUUUUCAUCCCUCAGUCUUCAACUGCUGGGGAGACAGGAGGCACAGGUGUGUUAGCAUGAAGCAGUUGCCUGUUUAGCACAAGGAUUGACUCCCUACACAAUGGCUUUAGGGCUUGAGCUGUCAAUACACCUAGCUUGGCUUCAGGUGACGCCACACUUUUUAAGCACUCUCCCACCUCUGUGAUGCCUCUAGAUUUUUGUCUAUCCAGGGCCUAGUUCAGCAUUUUUACAUUGUAGUCACUUGAUGUUUAUUGAAUUCCAUUGACAGCCUUAAUAUCAAAGAGUCUAGUUGGGGGGAAAUGUGAUGGAAUAUCUCUUCUCACCUCAACUGGUAGAAGUCCUAUCUUCCUUCAGAGCUCGGGCAUGCCACGUCCCCGGGAGGCCUUUUUUGUUCCCCCACCAUUUGUUAGUUCUCUCUCUCUAGAAAUUUCUUGUUUUUACUUAUCCAGGGAUGUGCUGGUAAAUUUUUAACAACAUACCCUGGAAAAAAACGUAACACAACACACUUUUACGUUUAAUUUGCAUUAUUAACAUUUUCUUCAUCACUUCCUUAAGUCUAAAGCAGUGAUAUCAAACUCAGUAGAAAUGGUAGUCACUGAACUACAUAUGAAUCCCUGCAGGAAACAUAGUGACUAAGAAAACCAUAUAUUAAUAUUAUCUACAUUUUAUUGUAUUUUUAUUUAUUUUGCAAAGUAUUUCCCAAUUACAUUUUAAUCUGGUUCAGGCCGUGUUCAGGAGUGUUGUGGGCUGCAGGUUUAGUGUUUGAUACGUCAGGUCUAGAGUAUUAGCAGCAAAACAAUAAAUCACAUUUGCUAAUUUUUGAGGUAUAAAUG
Long non-coding RNA from Vombatus ursinus (common wombat), 1642 nucleotides. NCBI's taxonomy places the organism in Eukaryota, Metazoa, Chordata, Mammalia, Diprotodontia, Vombatidae. The record is from Ensembl.